UCGGAACGACUGAGACAGGUGCUGCAUGGCUGUCGUCAGCUCGUGUUGUGAGAUGUUGGUUAGUCCGCAACGAGCGCAACCCUUAUCCUUAGUUGCCAGCGCGUAAUGGUGGGGAACUCUGGGGAGACUGCCGGUGAUAAACCGGAGGAAGGUGGGGACGACGUCAAGUCAUCAUGGCCCUUACGGGAUGGGCUACACACGUGCUACAAUGGCGCGUACAAAGGGAAGCAAGCUAGCGAUAGUGAGCGGAUCUCAAAAAGCGCGUCGUAGCCCGGAUCGGAGUCUGCAACUCGACUCCGUGAAGUCGGAAUCGCUAGUAAUCGCGGAUCAGAAUGCCGCGGUGAAUACGUUCCCGGGCCUU
This 361-nucleotide ribosomal RNA is filed under the name uncultured Idiomarina sp. RNAcentral describes it as "bacterial SSU rRNA". It matches the Rfam family "Bacterial small subunit ribosomal RNA", at positions 1020 to 1382 of the family's 1533-position model. The record is from RNAcentral. Lineage: Bacteria; Pseudomonadati; Pseudomonadota; Gammaproteobacteria; Alteromonadales; Idiomarinaceae.